UGAUACCGUUGUAGGGAUGCAGAAUCAGGUACGGACGCUCGGUCGACCGGAUGACGAUGCUGUGUUGGUUUGGGACUGAUACCGUUGAACAGUUUUGAUAACUGUAUCUAUGAUUCUGCGUUGUUCCGAUAACUCACGCACAGCACAACUUGCUGCAAUUCGCGCGACAUGCCUCCAGAACGGAAAGUAGUGUAAAACAUGUACAGCGUUUAACGUGUUAAAUAUUUAUUUUCGCACAAAAGCAGGCUUAGUUUUAGUAAAGUUAUCUCCUCAUUUGUAAUUUGAUAUGCAUGUAUUUAUCAAAAAUACAGUUGAAAAUCAUGACAUUUUAUUUCAUUACAUAAAACUUUGCAAAGGGUUCGAAAUGGAAACGACAAAUAAGAAGGACAUGUGGUGUGAGGAUACCUACGUAGAAGUUGGUACAAUCCAAGUUCCAACCAUCCAGUUUCCAAAUAGUAAGUCAGUUCCAAAUCUCCAAAUAAUCAGAAUAAUAGGGGAACCACAGCUCAAUUCCACGAACAAUAAUAAUAACCUUGCAGUCAACAUGCAACCAUGUAAUUCUUCUUGUCAUGCCAACACCGAGAAAUGCGCGGAUGAAGCAAUCCAACCAGAUGAAAUUUGCGGCAAUGAACAAAGUAUGAGUUACUUUUUAAGUAUUUUGUCUGUGUGAUACGAUGUGCGAAUUUUAAAAUAUUCUCAUUUUUAUUAUAAUUGUCUUCAGAAGCAGAGAUUGCGGAGCUUAGAGCCAAAGUGGAGUUAGUCACUGUAAGUUGUCUUAGGCAAAGUCUACUUUCUAGGAACGAAUUUGAGCUAGCCAAACUUAAUACAAAAGAAGGAUUAGAUACUUUUGAGCAAUCGAUUAGCACUGACCCAUCGUUUAAAGAAAAUGUAAUUAGGUAUUUGCAGAGGCAAAUAACAGUCGCAGAUGUAGACAGUCGAUUACAUGAAGCGCUUGAUUUACUUUUUACUCGACUAUUUUUUGCCACAAUCAGUUGGACUGGAAAAAGUAAGCCGGGAUCAACGAAGAUAGAGUUCAAGAAGUGUGAAAGCAUACUUCUUCUGUUAAAAGAAAUUGGAAGUAAUGCGAGAGUUUUAGCAACUCCCAAAUACAUUGCUGAUUUUAUUAAAAUCCGUCUUAAGCACGCUCCGUUUCGAGCUAACCUUUCUCCUACCAAACACACUUCUCUUCAUAAAAAAAGAAAUUAAUUCAUUAAUCAUUAAGUACUUAUCAUGUAGACGACCACCGACAUAAAUCUAUCUAUCGAUAUCUCUGUGAAAUAUUAUUAUUAAUAUCGAGUUAUUGUUUCUUUCUUAAAUAAUUUGCUAUACAUUAAUUAAGAUCUUAUUUAGUUUCGUUGCAUA
Anopheles stephensi (Asian malaria mosquito) is the source of this 1362-nucleotide long non-coding RNA. RefSeq lists it as uncharacterized. NCBI's taxonomy places the organism in Eukaryota, Metazoa, Arthropoda, Insecta, Diptera, Culicidae. The transcript has 3 exons. The record is from RefSeq and is a predicted model, not a curated record.